GCCUGCCCAGUGACUCUUUAAACGGCCGCGGUAUCCUAACCGUGCAAAGGUCGCAUAAUCACUUGUCCCUUAAAUCGGGACUGGAAUGAACGGCUAAAUGAGGACUAAACUGUCUCUUACAGGCUAGCCAAUGAAAUUGAUUUUCCAGUACAAAAGCUGGAAUAUAACCACAAGACGAGAAGACCCUGUGGAGCUUACAAACCAAAUUCACCAAACAUGUCUUUAUCGGUUUUCAGUUGGGGCGACUUUGGAGUAAAAAACAACCUCCAAACACCAAACUAAUUAAGAACAACAUAUCAAAAUAUAUCUGUAAUGACCCAGCAACCCUGUGGUUGUCUGAUUAAUGAACCAAGUUACCCCAGGGAAUAACAGCGCCAUCCCCUUCUAGAGUUCCUAUCGACAAGGGGGUUUACGACCUCGAUGUUGGAUCAGGACACCCCAAUGGUGCAGCCGCCAUUAACGGUUCGUUUGUUCAACGAUUAAAGUCCAACGUGAU
This 496-nucleotide ribosomal RNA is filed under the name Anatololacerta sp. CI-2014a. Its description in RNAcentral is "partial 16S ribosomal RNA". It matches the Rfam family "Bacterial large subunit ribosomal RNA", at positions 1857 to 2604 of the family's 2925-position model. Lineage: Eukaryota; Metazoa; Chordata; Lepidosauria; Squamata; Lacertidae. The record is from RNAcentral.